GACCGAGAUCCAGUGCGUCGACCUCACACAGUCUCUCCGGAAAGGAGUUCGCAGCUCGCGUAGGUGUUCGGUUGCUGAAGGUAUGCUGUUCGAUUAGAUGUUGUUAACGCACAUACAAUUAUCAGUGGGGAUUUAGUCAGGUGACAUUUUUUAGGCAACCAUGUUGUGAUAAAGCUUCUUAAUUUGUGGAUUUGAAUAUUGGGUGGCUUAAUUUUUCACUAUCAGCUAGCUCUAAUUGAUGUUGAGUCUUUGCUUUUUGAGACGUUGUAGUGUCGCAACCAAGUUGGUAUCUGCACUGUUUCUAUCAGAAAUACAUGUGAGUCCAUUCUUUGACAUCUGAACUUUGCUGAUGCUUAUGCCAUUGUAUGCACAACAAGCACCUUCGCCACAUUGUCAUCCAUUUGUGAGAUGUUUCUGUUUCUCUAUGUUGGCAUGGAUGCAUUGGAUAUACAGAUUUGGAAGAUUGUUAGCAGAACACAUAUACAGGCAACUGCGGGGACUACCAACAGGCGGCGUACCUGCUACGUGUUGGUGAUGAGCAAGCUAGCCAAGGGGCAGCAUAGUGAAUCGAUGAAGAAGCUGGAAUCCUAAUAGGAGGAAUAUUUUCAACUAGUUUGUCGCAUGUUGGAGGAGGUAUUCUCGCCCACUGUGGUUAUCCAGCAUUUUAGCCUGUUACAUGCCUUAUCUUCUUUUCUGAAUUCUAUAUAGUAUAUUCUUUCGAUUUUUUUCUGUAAAAACAAAGCAUGUGAGCUCAUCUGCUAUAGAUUCGGGAACAACAUAUGUGCAACAUAGUAGUAAUAACGCCUUUUAACUUC
Triticum urartu is the source of this 815-nucleotide non-coding RNA. NCBI's taxonomy places the organism in Eukaryota, Viridiplantae, Streptophyta, Magnoliopsida, Poales, Poaceae. The record is from RefSeq and is a predicted model, not a curated record.